UCACCGACCGCAGUGUCGCACACAGUCUGUGGUCGCAUGCUGCACGAUUCUUACAGAGAAGGGGAGCUGGGUUCUCGAGGUGACUGUUUUUUUUUGGCAAUAUUUCUGUGGUGAUGGGUACAGUGAAAUCCUUUGGAGUGCUGUUCAACCCAUGCAGGAGUCUCUGCUGAGUUCUAAUGCUCAGCUUGGAACAGUCCUUGGUAUGACCCAUAGUUUAGGGUCUCAGUGUGGGUUUGGCAUCGAUGCAUUAAUCAGUUAUCAUCCUGUCUUUGCUACAGUCAAAUGGAAAUCAAGGCCUCGACUGGCAAAGGUCACCACCUUCUCCUCACCUCUUUGAACUUGAGACAAGACAGCACCCAAGCCGGACAAACUCGCAUCUACAUCAAGUAUGAAAGUCAGCAAAUGUGAGAAUAGGAGGUUUGACGAACUUGGGUUUAAGCUCUUCAGAGGCAGCCUGACAAGCUUCUGACCACUGGUUUCGUAACAUUUUUGGUGGACAACGUUGUGUCUUACCAACCACAGCAUGAAGCGGUGCAGCUAUCCGGCAAAGCCCUUGAUAUACCGCCUGUAGUAGUUAGCAAAACCUAGGAAGGAACGCCGUUGCUUGGUCUUGCGAGGCACAGGCCAUUCAACAAUUGGCGUUGUCUUCACAGAUUUGGUAGCAAUGCCAUCUGCAGAUAGAGUAUGAUCCCAACAGUCGAUUUGCUUGCAAAAUAGAUGACACGUUGAGGGUUUACGUCUGAGAUUAUGUUCUCUUAACUUAAAGAAAACAGUGUCAAGAUGAUGCAAGUGCUCAUCGAAGGUCUUUGAGAAGAUGCAGACAUCAUCAAGGAAGCAAAUGCAAAGAGUCACAUCAACUACUGUACAUUACCAAUAACAAAGAAGAAAACAGUUCAAACGGCCGCAGUGUGAACAUGGAGUCCCACUGCUCUAGUGGACAGUGCUGAGCAAUCAGGCAUCUGACGACACAGACUCUGAAAAUGUUCAACACGGCAUACAGAGCUCAGGAAACUGCCACAGUCAGACAAUGGAAGUUGACCAGUCGAGCAGCCAGUUCCAUGCACAGUUCAGCAAGAAACAGCACAAAAGUGGCUAGAACAUUUCAAGUAAAGCACAUCGAACCAGUCAUAAUAGCAGGACGACAAUUGGAACAGUACUGCUGUAGAAAAUAACUCUUCGGCAGCUAUCAGGGUCUUUUGAUGGCAAACGGACUCUCCGAGGCUGCAGCACUUGAAGGAUGAAGGUGUAACAACAGUGUUGGUCAAAAACACCACUGUCUGCAGAGGACCGUCAGAAGAUGUAGAUCAGUAACACCUACGGAAUCAAACCGUCUGCACCGAUCCAUUCCCUGUUUGUGUUCGACUGUCGUUUACCCUUCAUAUUUGAUUUUUGCUCGCACCCCAAUUAAAAGUGAAUGAAUUUCAAUCCUGCUGACUACUCAGAGUGUUACCGAGCAGAUCCACUCAGAAACGAGGACUGGGGGACGCAACAAGCUCCAGUGUGCAACUUUGUAUAGGGAGUAUCAUCAAGGGUAUUAAAAAAGACAGUCAACAGGCAUGAUAAAGAUUAGGCCUAACUGUCUAAAAGUUAAAGAAAAUAAAUAACUAUUAAAGUACAUGACAUUUUGUUUCCUUCUUUCGGCGUUAGACGCACUCUCCAUUUUGCCAUACAGCCGAAAAAGACAACGACUAAAGUCCGCGAGACUUUCGUCUUCGAGUUGACGUGGGGAUACAAGGCUUUGGUUAAUGACUGCACUGUCUUCGGACUAGCGGUGAUUCACGUUUUACCCACAUGUCUCCUUGGGGCGGACAACACAUAACUUCCUCUUUGGCAACGUCUCUGAGGUAAUCAAGUGCAGUGCUUAUCUUUUCUUGGUCAGACAAACCGAAUUGACGAGUAUAUGCAUUUAAGUCAUUCUGCCAUUCUGAUAACAGACUUUAAAAUCUGAUCCACAGAGUGCCGCAGAAAACCAGUAAACUUUGUAUUGACUGUGACAGCUCUUUGAUACCGUAAAUUUUGAAACGCAUCAGCUAGCGUAUCAGCGAGGGCCUUGUUCGACUGCAGAAUGGCUUCUGCCACAUUUUCUGGCAGGGCAAUCUUUGUGUGUGACGGCUCAACUAAUAAUACGAAUCUUUAUUAAUGCAAAUAGGCAUAUAUAUCAACCUCUUUCUCAGGUGAGUUUUGGUAAAUACAAAGUCAACCAAAAUUAACAUAUACUAGUCACACUAUGCACAACAAGGGCGACCAAUUGUUAGAAAUAUAAGCAGUUACCAAUUUACAAACACAAGCCUUAGCCACAAAUUAUAUUUCACACCAAGGGGAUAAAACAAAGAUAACUGGAAUAUUGAAGAAAUCUGGAGGUCAGUGUAUACUGUCUAUGACGCCAUACUGUGACCAGACAUGUCAUUCUAAGCCGCCCCUGGUAGUGGGGUGGUAGAUCCACCCUCCUGUGAUAGAAGACAAGGCACCCUCUAAGCAAACUCCCCCAAAAGAUUAUUCGGAAACCGGAUGCCAAUCAGAUGAUAAUUUAAUUAUUUGUUGCUUUCAUGUCCGAGCUUCUUCACGUAAACUAUAUCCAAGCUUCUCCCAGUAAAUAAUCCAAGCUUCUUCACGUAAAGUAUUACAUCCCUGUACGAAAAAUAAUUACAUAAUGUUUAAACCCAAGAUACUUAUUGUACAUAAAAAUACAACAUAUUUACUACAUUUAUAAAGCUAGUGUACACAAUGUGGUUUGGUAAGGUGUGUAACUAAAAAUAGAAUUAACACUUUGUAUUAAAUUAACCUGGUGUGAUGGCUUGGCAGUGAUGUAAGUGCUGCAGAAACUUGAAGGGCAAGUUCCUCCAAAACCUCGAGCUAACGCCAAAACAUAAUUCAUAAAAGCGGCAUGAUAAAUAACAUUCUCAAUAGCACAAACACAGGUAUUAUGGAACUGCAACAUGGGUAUUUGCAUGGAAUGAACACUACAUAAAAUCUACACGGCAUAUCCCAUCUGGUAAACUAAGCUAGCCGUAGAAAACAAUGACAGCCAUGACCCACCAAUGUAAGUCGUACACAGCCCUGAGUUCAGUGCACAGUGCGAUCUCAUACUCACGAGGCCUGCUGUGCACUCCACGCCCUGCGUAAAUGCAACACAACGUGCAAUGUGUAUGUAAGUACAUGUAUAAUUAUAACGUAUGCGACACAGCAAUCUACCACAAAAGAGUCCAAAUACUAUGAUCAUAAAACCACUCAAAAAUGAAUUAAAAUUCCAUUAUCCUUGUGUACUAUGAUUAUAAGCCCUGUGAGGGUUCCUAACAGAAAAAGGUACAAAGAGUGAGGAAUUUUGGAGCAAAACGUUCUUACCUGGGUGUUGCUGGAUCAGCGGCGAAAAGGCUCACGCUAGAGAGUUCUUGAACGACCAACACCUAUAGAGAAGGCACUGUUCGAAGUGAUUUUGAACAUAUUGCUUUGCCAUUCAUAAAAAAGUGUGAUUACGCUCAAAGAUUAACUGAAUGCUCGUGCACUGUAGACAUUUAGGGCAUGAAAUUUGUGAGCCACUUGGUGGAAAUGAAGUACAAGUCGCUAGAGCCUUUAUACAAUACCAGAAAGCAACAGAACGCCUCCACAUAUUUUUUCCUGAAUCAAAUCAAUUUUCAUCAGGAUGUCAAACUUAGUGAGGCAUGCAUCAAUACAAGACACUAGAUUUGAUCUUUCUAAUGCUCGAGCAAAACAAACUUGCAUCGUUGAAAUGGGCUUUUAAGUCAUAUUGGUAGGCAGAUCACAUGGUGUACAUCUAGUAGUAUGGGCCCACCAUUCACAACUUGUUUCCAACCAUAAUUUCACGAAGACCAGUAGGUAUCUCACCGAGAUUUGAAAACAGACCGUCCACAUUAUUUUGUUAACCAGACCGAGAAAGUGCGUUGAGUGGUUCUUGUCUGCUAACCCCCAUUUGUGAAAGUGGAGUUUUCUGAGCUGUUUUUAGUUGCCUACCUCCGAGCUAAAUGGACAAACCCCCACAUUGUAAUGUUGCCCACAAAGGACUUUCAAUAGCUAUUGUUAAUUUCAGGCCGCACAAGGUCACUGUAGUAAGCCAAUACAUACAGUGCUUUAGCGUGCUACGCCACAUGUUGAAAAUAAUCUUUUUAUAUUACCAGAAGAUUCAUAACAAACGGUGCAUAUAGUGUAGGCAUUAGGGUAUAUCGCAUGCAUAGGUAAGAAAUUUCAGUGAAUGGUGUGUGGUUACCUGAUGUUAUUGGUAUUACAUAGCUACCUAUAAAGGAUAUCUAAAACGUUUAGUUCGACCCCAAGAUUACAAAUACUUUCCCAAAAAACAGAGGCAGAAGUGUUCGAUCGUAGGCGAAGUUUUCAGAGUUGUUAGCUGCCGGAGACUGACAGAAAAUACCCUUUUUAAAAAAAAUGGAAACUAAAGGAAACUAGAGGCAAUGUCGUUUGCUCUUAGAGGGUGUAUGCACGCAUAGUUACAACUCGUGUAAAGAUACCGCAUUGCAUUUUAAACAUGUUGCUUGUUUAAGUUUUAGCCACAGUUUACUUCAGAUUAUGUACUAUUUAUAAAACUGAUUCUUUGUUCGUAUUUAACAGCUUAACAUUCAACUGGACAUAUUGCUUAUCUUUUAAGCAUGUUUACAAGGUAAUAACAAAAUUGCAAUUGUUUGAGGUGAUUGGAUUAAUGUUUCUAUUGAUUUUCGCAGGAAUGGAUAGCUUUGAGUUGCAUAAAUUACUCAUCGAGAACACAAAGUUCCUUGGAAUUAUACGGUCCGCUCUUAAGACCAGAAAUAUUAUCAAAUAACAUUUUACAUGACUUCCAGUACAUCUUCAAAAACUAUUAGUAUUGGAAGCUUUGCAUCAGAACUACCUUUAAAUGGUUGCUGAGCGAUAGUGUGCUAUUUUAUGUAUGACUGUUGUCGGGCAUGCAUGUGCUGCAGCGGGUCAACUUAUGGCUGUCUGCACGCUGUAGCUUCGCACCUAGUGGAUUGAACCCAAAUCGACGUUUGUGAUUCCCCCUCUCUUUUUAAGGGGAAAUCGUCAUCAUUUUAAAUAGGUCUCUCGCAUUUUCCUCAUUUCCAUUUCAACAGAAAAUUUAACCAUGUUUAGGGGUUUUGGGGAAUCAGUGCAGCAAUUUGUGAACUUACAAAUUGCUGUCAUUCAAAAUAAGAAAUGAAAAGCCGCCAUUUGGUGUUUGUCUUUAAAAACCAAAAGCCAACACUUUUUUUUGGGGGGGGUCGUAUGAACAACAGCAAAACAGUCCGAGAAAAGCAAAGAGCCAAGUAAGACCUAAUAAUAGAACUACGCAACAAAAAAAGUUGAUGAACAGACUUUAGGGGUCUUUGCACUGCUGUAGCCAAACACUAAUUUGGUUGAAAGAUGAAACUGCAUGAACCCCCCCCCCAAAAAAAUACGAGUCUUGAUACAGUACUCACCAACAUACAUAAAGCACAGGCAGUAGAUAAGGCACCCACCAGUUUGUAGUUUGCAGUGGAUUUUUACCGUUUUAAUAUCUUUUGCCAACUCCAAACAGAUAUAAAUCGGCAAAAGUAAGAAACAAGGGAGAUUUUUUUCGUUGUCUUUUGCUUGUCUCUUAUUGGGUGUUGUAAAAACCUUAUUUCAGGUAUUACGUGUAAUUGAAAUCGUCUCGUCAAUGGAGGGCAAAAGGUUGAUUUUUUUAC
Molecule: long non-coding RNA, 5663 nt
Organism: Acanthaster planci (crown-of-thorns starfish)
Lineage: Eukaryota; Metazoa; Echinodermata; Asteroidea; Valvatida; Acanthasteridae
Source: RefSeq, a predicted model, not a curated record